UCCAGGUGAGAAUAUGAUCUGCUUUUGCAAGGAAAAGUGUGAAUGUGAAAAAAGUGAAGUGGCAAUGGAAGUAAACCUUCAGUCAAGGUAAUGGAGGGUCAAUCAAGCCAAAUACUCAUAAAAAUCUACACAGCAACCACAUCAAUCUUAAGCCUAACCAACAUUUUUAAACCAUGGAAUCCUCUCAAGGGGUUCAUUUUUUAUGGGUUGUAAUUUUAUUUUACAAUAAAUUAAAAGAAUUAUACAUUUGAUCAAGUACUUCAUUGUUUUAAAAGUAAAAAAAAAAAUAACAACACUUGCAACAUAAUAGAAAAAGCUAUCAACAAAAAUUUAAUGGUCAUAUAUUAGAUAUUAAAACUAAAUAUUUUUUUCUGAAUCUUAAUACCUGUGCAACUCUCAAUGGCAUGGUAAAAUAGAUUAUUCUAACAGAGCACUUUUAUAGUUCUGUAUUGUUAGAGACCAAGACAAAAUUUUAAUCUCAAAUAAUUAGCAUCUGAAUUUAUAAACCCCAAUUCAGGACAUGAUUACAAUUGCCAAUAACUAUGAUGGGAUGACAGUGAGGUCCAGAUUGUCAUGUUGGCAAGGACUUGCAGCAUUGCAACCAGGGAUUCUGCAAAGCCCAAUCCGAGUUCAAUACUCUGUUUCCAAGACACCAUCAAUGAGCCCGAACUCCAUAGCCUGUGAGAGGAAAAUAGCACACUGGUUAUUCUUUUCUUUCAUUCAUAGAAAGUUUCAAUGCCUGUACAUUUUAAAAGCAUAAAGAUAUCACUGUAUCAGGCCCUUAAGAAGG
This 790-nucleotide long non-coding RNA is filed under the name Theobroma cacao (cacao). RNAcentral's name for it is "long non-coding RNA (TCAC_LNC000768)". Lineage: Eukaryota; Viridiplantae; Streptophyta; Magnoliopsida; Malvales; Malvaceae. The record is from RNAcentral.